Long non-coding RNA from Hemicordylus capensis (graceful crag lizard), 382 nucleotides. RefSeq lists it as uncharacterized. The transcript has 2 exons. NCBI's taxonomy places the organism in Eukaryota, Metazoa, Chordata, Lepidosauria, Squamata, Cordylidae. The record is from RefSeq and is a predicted model, not a curated record.
GCAGAGACGCGCUUCCCAUCUGGCCCAGAAAAGGCCAACCAGAGUGGCUUUGGGUGAUGGACUCUGGAGGGAACUGCAGGCCUCGGCGUCAUCCAGGAAAAAAGCGAGAGCAGCUGGAAAUAAUUGUGACAGAGACAAAUGUGCCUGCCGCCUGCCUAGCUCGGUUUUUCCACUAUUCAAGCCUGCUGGAGGGGGGAGCGAAAGGGAAAGCAGGAAAUAAUUUUUGGAGUCUUCCCUGGCCCUAUUCCAUGUUUCCAAUGUAAUAAAGAGAAACGGUUUGCUUGUCGUUAGAAGAGGAAGCAUCUAGCAACACUUCCUCCUUCAUUUCCGGUUACAGCCAGACAGCAAAACAGCGUUACAGAAUUAAAAAAUGCAUAAUUAA